Molecule: ribosomal RNA, 939 nt
Filed under: Sphingobacterium anhuiense
Lineage: Bacteria; Pseudomonadati; Bacteroidota; Sphingobacteriia; Sphingobacteriales; Sphingobacteriaceae
Description: bacterial SSU rRNA
Rfam family: Bacterial small subunit ribosomal RNA
Source: RNAcentral
UGGAUUGGGUUUAAGGGUGCGUAGGCGGUCCUAUAAGUCAGUGGUGAAAGACGGCAGCUUAACUGUCGCAGUGCCUUUGAUACUGUAGGACUUGAAUCUAUUUGAAGUGGGCGGAAUAAGACAAGUAGCGGUGAAAUGCAUAGAUAUGUCUUAGAACUCCGAUUGCGAAGGCAGCUCACUAAGUUAGUAUUGACGCUGAUGCACGAAAGCGUGGGGAUCAAACAGGAUUAGAUACCCUGGUAGUCCACGCCCUAAACGAUGAUAACUCGAUGUUUGCGAUACACAGUAAGCGUCCAAGCGAAAGCGUUAAGUUAUCCACCUGGGGAGUACGGUCGCAAGAUUGAAACUCAAAGGAAUUGACGGGGGCCCGCACAAGCGGAGGAGCAUGUGGUUUAAUUCGAUGAUACGCGAGGAACCUUACCCGGGCUUGAAAGUUAGUGAAUGAUCCAGAGACGGAUCAGUCCUUCGGGACACGAAACUAGGUGCUGCAUGGCUGUCGUCAGCUCGUGCCGUGAGGUGUUGGGUUAAGUCCCGCAACGAGCGCAACCCCUAUGUUUAGUUGCCAGCACAUUAAGGUGGGGACUCUAAACAGACUGCCAGCGUAAGCUGUGAGGAAGGUGGGGACGACGUCAAGUCAUCAUGGCCCUUACGUCCGGGGCUACACACGUGCUACAAUGGAUGGUACAGCGGGCAGCUACAUAGCAAUAUGGUGCUAAUCUCUAAAAGCCAUUCACAGUUCGGAUUGAGGUCUGCAACUCGACCUCAUGAAGUUGGAUUCGCUAGUAAUCGCGUAUCAGCAAUGACGCGGUGAAUACGUUCCCGGGCCUUGUACACACCGCCCGUCAAGCCAUGAAAGUUGGGGGUACCUAAAGCAUGUAACCGCAAGGAGCGUGUUAGGGUAAAACCGAUUGGGGCUAAGUCGUACAGGGUUAACCGUAA